Molecule: ribosomal RNA, 458 nt
Filed under: uncultured bacterium
Lineage: Bacteria
Description: bacterial SSU rRNA
Rfam family: Bacterial small subunit ribosomal RNA
Source: RNAcentral
CUACGGAACUCCUACGGGAGGCAGCAGUGGGGAAUUUUGGACAAUGGGGGCAACCCUGAUCCAGCCAUGCCGCGUGAGUGAUGAAGGCCCUAGGGUUGUAAAGCUCUUUUACCUGGGAAGAUAAUGACGGUACCAGGAGAAUAAGCCCCGGCUAACUUCGUGCCAGCAGCCGCGGUAAUACGAAGGGGGCUAGCGUUGUUCGGAAUCACUGGGCGUAAAGAGCACGUAGGCGGAUCUUUAAGUCAGGGGUGAAAUCCCGAGGCUCAACCUCGGAACUGCCUUUGAUACUGGGGAUCUCGAGUCCGGGAGAGGUGAGUGGAACUGCGAGUGUAGAGGUGAAAUUCGUAGAUAUUCGCAAGAACACCAGUGGCGAAGGCGGCUCACUGGCCCGGAACUGACGCUGAGGUGCGAAAGCGUGGGGAGCAAACAGGAUUAGAUACCCCUGUAGUCCUCUUCGA